Molecule: ribosomal RNA, 233 nt
Filed under: uncultured bacterium
Lineage: Bacteria
Description: partial 16S ribosomal RNA
Rfam family: Bacterial small subunit ribosomal RNA
Source: RNAcentral
CGGGGUGGAGUAACGCGUGGGUAACCUGCCUCAUACAGGGGGAUAACAGUUGGAAACGACUGCUAAUACCGCAUAAGCGCACAGGAUCACAUGAUCUGGUGUGAAAAACUCCGGUGGUAUGAGAUGGACCCGCGUCUGAUUAGCCAGUUGGCAGGGUAACGGCCUACCAAAGCGACGAUCAGUAGCCGACCUGAGAGGGUGACCGGCCACAUUGGGACUGAGACACGGCCCAA